CCUACGGGAGGCUGCAGUGGGGAAUAUUGCACAAUGGGCGAAAGCCUGAUGCAGCAACGCCGCGUGAGCGAUGAAGGCCUUCGGGUCGUAAAGCUCUGUCCUCAAGGAAGUUAAUGACGGUACUUGAGGAGGUAGCCCCGGCUAACUACGUGCCAGCAGCCGCGGUAAUACGUAGGGGGCUAGCGUUAUCCGGAAUUACGGGGCGUAAGGGGUGCGUAGGUGGUUUCUUAAGUCAGAGGUGAAAGGCUAGGGCUCAACCGUAGUAAGCCUUUGAAACUGGGAAACUUGAGUGUAGGAGAGGAGAGUGGAAUUCCUAGUGUAGCGGUGAAAUGCGUAGAUAUUAGGAAGAACACCAGUUGCGAAGGCGGCUCUCUGGACUGUAACUGACACUGAGGCACGAAAGCGUGGGGAGCAAACAGGAUUAGAUACCCUGGUAGUC
Molecule: ribosomal RNA, 439 nt
Filed under: uncultured bacterium
Lineage: Bacteria
Description: partial 16S ribosomal RNA
Rfam family: Bacterial small subunit ribosomal RNA
Source: RNAcentral